UCUUAUGGCCGUACCACCCUGAAAGUACCUGAUCUCAGAAACUAAGCAGGGGUAAGGCCUAGUUAGAACUUCCACAGAAGGAAGCUCAAUCUCUUAUAUGUUCCAUAAAGU
Molecule: ribosomal RNA, 111 nt
Filed under: Otolemur garnettii (small-eared galago)
Lineage: Eukaryota; Metazoa; Chordata; Mammalia; Primates; Galagidae
Source: RNAcentral